UCUGGUUGAUCCUGCCAGUAGUCAUAUGCUUGUCUCAAAGAUUAAGCCAUGCAUGUCUAAGUAUAAAUAGUAUACAGUGAAACUGCGAAUGGCUCAUUAAAACAGUUAUAGUUUAUUUGAUAAUUGAAAAUUACAUGGAUAACCGUGGUAAUUCUAGAGCUAAUACAUGCUUAAAGGCCCGACUUUUUGGAAGGGUUGUAUUUAUUAGACUGAAGCCAAUAUUCUUUGUGUCUAUUGUGGUGAUUCAUAAUAACUGAUCGAAUCUCUUAUUGAGAUAAAUCAUUCAGGUUUCUGCCCUAUCAGCUUUCGAUGGUAGUGUAUUGGACUACCAUGGCAGUAACGGGUAACGAAGAAUUAGGGUUCGAUUUCGGAGAGGGAGCAUGAGAAACGGCUACCACAUCUAAGGAAGGCAGCAGGCGCGUAAAUUACCCAAUCCUGACUCAGGGAGGUAGUGACAAGAAAUAGCAAACUGGGGACCUCACGGUCUCACGGUAUUGCAAUGAGAACAAUUUAAAACACUUAGCGAGGAUCAAGUGGAGGACAAGUCUGGUGCCAGCACCCGCGGUAAUUCCAGCUCCACUAGCGUAUAUUAAAGUUGUUGCAGUUAAAAAGCUCGUAGUUGAACCUCUGUCUGGGGCUAAUUUUGGCUUAGGUCAGGUUAGUUCUAGGCAUCCGCCUACAAGACUUAGAGGGCAUUUACUUGUUCACUAGGAGGAGUAGGCAUUUUACUUUGAAAAAAUUAGAGUGUUUAAGGCAGGCAAUAGCUCGCAUAUAUUAGCAUGGAAUAAUAGAAUAGGACACUUUUCCAUUUCGUUGGUUAUCGGAAUCGUGUAAUGAUUAAUAGGGACAGUUGUGGGCAUUUGUAUUUAAUUGUCAGAGGUGAAAUUCUUGGAUUUAUUAAAGACAAACUAACGCGAAAGCAUUUGCCAAGGAUGUUUUCAUUAAUCAAGAACGAAAGUUAGGGGAUCAAAGACGAUCAGAUACCGUCCUAGUCUUAACUAUAAACUAUUCCGACUCAAUGUUUGACUGGCUUAUAUAACCAGUUGAGCGUUGUAUGAGAAAUCAAAGUCUUUAGGUUCUGGGGGGAGUAUGGUUGCAAAGCUGAAACUUAAAGGAAUUGACGGAAGAGCACAACCAGGAGUGGAUUCUGCGGCUUAAUUUGACUCAACACGGGGAAACUUACCAGGUUAAAACAAUAGUGGGAUUGACAGUUUGAGAGCGCUUUCUUGAUUUGUUGGGUGGUGGUGCAUGGCCGUUCUUAGUUGGUGGAGU
RNAcentral lists this ribosomal RNA (1272 nucleotides) under metagenome. RNAcentral's name for it is "SSU rRNA". It matches the Rfam family "Eukaryotic small subunit ribosomal RNA", at positions 1 to 1307 of the family's 1831-position model. The record is from RNAcentral.